AUUGAACGCUGGCGGCAUGCCUUACACAUGCAAGUCGAACGGCAGCGGGCCUUCGGGUGCCGGCGAGUGGCGAACGGGUGAGUAAUGCAUCGGAACGUGCCAUUGAGUGGGGGAUAACGUAGCGAAAGUUACGCUAAUACCGCAUAUUCUGUGAGCAGGAAAGCAGGGGACCGCAAGGCCUUGCGCUCUUUGAGCGGCCGAUGUCAGAUUAGCUAGUUGGUGAGGUAAAGGCUUACCAAGGCGACGAUCUGUAGCGGGUCUGAGAGGAUGAUCCGCCACACUGGAACUGAGACACGGUCCAGACUCCUACGGGAGGCAGCAGUGGGGAAUUUUGGACAAUGGGCGCAAGCCUGAUCCAGCCAUGCCGCGUGAGUGAAGAA
This 380-nucleotide ribosomal RNA is filed under the name uncultured bacterium. RNAcentral describes it as "bacterial SSU rRNA". It matches the Rfam family "Bacterial small subunit ribosomal RNA", at positions 30 to 412 of the family's 1533-position model. The record is from RNAcentral.